Molecule: ribosomal RNA, 482 nt
Filed under: uncultured bacterium
Lineage: Bacteria
Description: partial 16S ribosomal RNA
Rfam family: Bacterial small subunit ribosomal RNA
Source: RNAcentral
AUUGAACGCUGGCGGCAUGCUUUACACAUGCAAGUCGAACGGCAGCGCGGGGCAACCUGGCGGCGAGUGGCGAACGGGUGCGUAAUACAUCGGAACGUACCCAGAAGUGGGGGAUAACGUAGCGGAAGUUACGCUAAUACCGCAUACGUUCUACGGAAGAAAGUGGGGGACCUUCGGGCCUCAUGCUUUUGGAGCGGCCGAUGUCUGAUUAGCUAGUUGGUGAGGUAAAGGCUCACCAAGGCGACGAUCAGUAGCUGGUCUGAGAGGACGACCAGCCACACUGGGACUGAGACACGGCCCAGACUCCUACGGGAGGCAGCAGUGGGGAAUUUUGGACAAUGGGCGCAAGCCUGAUCCAGCAAUGCCGCGUGAGUGAAGAAGGCCUUCGGGUUGUAAAGCUCUUUUGUCAGGGAAGAAACGGCUGAGGAUAAUACCUUCGGCUAAUGACGGUACCUGAAGAAUAAGCACCGGCUAACUACGUG